CUCCCUCCUGCUUCCAGUGUCCUCCAUCUCUACCCUUUCUCUCAUUUUCUAAUAUUGAGGACAUUCUAACUUCCAGGCUGCUGCGCGUCCUCGUCCGUCUGCCUUCCUUGUGAUCCCUACAGAGCUGCUGGAGAGUGAAGCAGCACAGAGCUGACCUUAUAAAGACUCCUCCUGGCCAGACCACACCUCUGUCUCAGAGUCCAUGGAAGCCAAGACCAAGUCCGGCGCUCCAGCGCCCAAAGCAGCAUCUAAAGCAGAGAAGAAGGAGCCGGUAGCCCCACGCAAGGCUGACCCUGCCCCUGCAGCCCCCGAGCCCGAGCAUCCUCCUCCCUCCCAAGAUGGGGCAGCAGAAGCUGAAGCAGCAGCAGCAGGUGAGGAGGCCGCGGCCUCCGGCACAGACUCUCUGGAACACCUGAAGCCCUUCCUCAUCGGCGGUGUCGUUAUCGCUGCAGGAGCCAUCUUGCUGGGAGUGUUGUUACUGGCAAGGAGAAAUUAAAACCAAAUCAUUAUCCCAAGUUCCAGUAUUCAUUGGUUGAUGAGUUUAGAGCGUCGCUGCUGAUUGGUUCACAGACUAUCAUGGUACAGACGGGGGGAUGGGGAGCCACUGUGCAUUUUAUGUUUUUAGUUGUUGGUUUGUCUUCUUCUGACCUGCUUUCACUUGUUGUGAAUCAAAGCAUUCAAGCUUUGAUCAAGGCUGUAUAUGGAGCAUAGUUAUACUCAGUAUAUGCAUGGAAAUGCUGCGAUACUCCAUCUGAAAUGUAAUUAUGUCUUUCUUAAAAAAACAAACUCACGUUGUAUUACCGAGCUUCAAAGCCUAAACUAUCUACAGGCAGCUUGUUCAACUGCUUUAUCUUGUUUAAUUCAGUUUGCACAAAUACUGACACCAGAUAUUUGUGCCUUCUUGCACCAGAAAUGAGCCUGGUUCACUUUGCUAAAAGAUCAUGAAGAACUGUAUUUAUAUGAUUGGAACUUAUAGCUGUUAACAUUGUGUAUCAGAGUUCUAGGUUUUAUUUUACUUUUAAACAGGACAACAGGAAGAGCAGGCUGGGGAGCAGCCCUGAUUAUGCACUGUGAUCUAUUGCACAUACUUUGGCUGAAUCAUUGCCUGACUGAAGGGAUUAAGUUCCUCUUUCAGUGAGACAUCAAAGACAUCAAAUCCCUAAUUGUAAAAAGAAAUAGUCUAAUAUAAUAUGGCACAGUGCAAUAAACUUGUUCAGAUACUGAACGUAGAAGCAUGCGGUGGUUGAGGAACGGCAUGUAGGGACCGCUGGACAUAAAACGUGGACUCUACGGAGCAGAGGAUUGUAGUGAAGUAACUUCUUGCUGUAGAAUAAGAAAGAGAAUUUAUUUUACUGUCGAAUAAUAUCACAAAUCAAUAACCUUUCAUGUCUUACACAACAGUCAUGCUAGCUCACUCUGUUCACAUCUGGCGGUAUGCAGAUGCUUCACUGUAGCGGCCCGAGCAGCCAUUAGUGGUGCAGGAUCAGGUCUAGAGUCUGCUGCCAGGACACGGGAGCUGUUUCUGUCGACACCCUGACGGUUGCAAAAUCUUGUUUUCAAAACCACGUUAAUAACUAAGUACAACUUUAACGUGCUGAGAGCAUCCUAGACUGCUGCAGAUACAGUGGAAGCUGGCUGUAAACCAACCGGUGUCAUGUGUUGAGCUCGAAGGGGAAAGAAGCAGUUCUGUCACUGCACACGCUCACCUGUACAGCUGUACACCAUCGUUUUAACUCACAUCGUGGUUGUCCCUGUCGCAUAAGUAGAUAGCAGAAAGACAGUUCUGACAUUAACCAUCACUUGAUUUUAGUAUAGAGGGUAUAGACUUCACACAUCACUGGCCAAAAAUAUUAUAUGAACAUACCACAUUCAGCACCCCAAACAUAUUAAAAAGAUAGUAUGCCAACACCAAAACAAACUUCACCUUACAUUGUACAAUACAGUGUACCAAAAAAAAAAAAGAGAAAAUUCCUAUUUUCAUAAUUUCAACAGCGUAUAAAUGCAAUAAUUCAGAUAGGACUCCUCAUUUAGCACAUGUGCUGUAGCAAGUUAAAUUAUAUAAACGAUGUAAUACUGUAUUAUCUUAGAGAAGGCAAAGAUGGUGAUGUUGCAGAGGACGAUGACGGGUAAUGAUGAUGUUGUUCAUGGUGACUGUAAUGGUUCUAAUGAUGGUUAUGAUAUAUUUUUUUAUAUAUUUCUAACAUAUUUUCCUUAUGCACCCUCCCCUCUGCCCCCAAACUUCUAAAUGUAAAAAAGAAAGAGUGAAAUCCAACCUUAUUAAAGGCAGUGAACCAGCC
Stegastes partitus (bicolor damselfish) is the source of this 2297-nucleotide long non-coding RNA. RefSeq lists it as uncharacterized. NCBI's taxonomy places the organism in Eukaryota, Metazoa, Chordata, Actinopteri, Pomacentridae. The record is from RefSeq and is a predicted model, not a curated record. The transcript has 2 exons.